GCUGUAAAUUGUAAUCAUCAAAGC
Non-coding RNA from Drosophila melanogaster (fruit fly), 24 nucleotides. The record is from Ensembl. Lineage: Eukaryota; Metazoa; Arthropoda; Insecta; Diptera; Drosophilidae.